CACUACAUACCUAAAGAGAGAGGAAGAAAGAGACGCACAUAUAGCCACUCACACUUUUCCAGCUGCUUAUCGAUUCACUGCCAUUUCUAAUUGAAUGGGGAAACCGAUAUUAUAAUUAGAGUGAAAUUUAUUAUGGGGGAAAAGUGCAGAAGAGUAAACAAUUUUUCAUGAAAAAUGGACGGCAAAGCCCAUAUUUUUUAUAUAUAAUAUUUUUGUGAGAUCAGAGGUAAGCGUUCUCUCUGAUAUGUUUAUUAAAUAUUUUACUGUUUUAUUAAUCAAAACCUACCAAAGGCGUCUAUACAAAAGGUAAAAAUUCUAAUGUCAUAAACAUUGGAUGCACAAAUACACAUUUUUUUAAAUUUUACUUGAUUCUAUUGCAUAGAAUUAUUUGGCCUUAAUUUGUUAGCUGUGACCACAACUUGUCAAACUGUUAUACAGCCGGUUCAGGAAUUUGUCGUUUAUCGUGUAAAACAAAGAAUUUAAUUAACAUUAGAAUUCAACUUCAAAUCAACACAACCAUUUUGUGGUUGGGGCCAAAACAAUUGUGCUGCGAAUAAGAAAAAGCUCUCGUGAUCACUUAAUACAUUGGAACUUCCAACUACAACUAAGACAAUGCUUAUUGACAAUUCAAUGGCUUUGAAAUAAUGUUAUGUUAUUUUCGUUUAAAUGAGGAAUCAUUUCGUUUUUAAUUAAAUAAGAUAAAGGAAGAUUACUACAAACUCCUUUCUUUGCUGCCUUGAGCAUCUUCUUUGACAUAAGCGGAUCAUUUAAUAAUGUCUCCCAUGGUGCAAUCCUUAAUAGUCUGGAAGCAGCCGAUACAAGAUGCCGUCAUGGAAACUCCCGAGGUUUAACGGGCUAGAGUUAAAUACUAAGGAUUAUACUAAGUACCUGGGAGUAACUUUGGGCAGCAAACUGACGUGGAAAAUCAAUGGGGAAAAUCCUAGGGUCCACAUCGGGCUUAUGCAUUGGUGUUACACAGUGGUAGUCAAGUCAAUCUACGGUGCUUUGUUGGGGUGGAGCGUUGCCAGCAAAAUCUGAUACAGGAAACCGUUGGAGCGACCAUGCAGGAUCGCCAAGAUCAUGUGAAAAAGAGAGAAAAGAAAACACGCAAGGUAUCUACGCUCACGUGUCAAAAAUACUGCAGGACGGUUGUUGGUCUAUAUGGUAUAAAUCUACAAGUAACCAAUCCUAAGAUUUUCUCUAAAACAUACGCAAAAAUGGCCCACUUGGUACGGGUUGCCUACUUAUACAAGUAUUCUACUACUAAAAUCACACUUGGCACAGGUUUUCAACUAAUAUUCUACUACUAAAACGUCCAAUUGACUCAAAUCUUCUACAAUUUGUUGCCGUGUUAUGUUUUAAAACUUAUAAAUUUAUAAUUAAGAAUGUUUUUAUUACAUAUUGAAAUAGUUUUCGAUUAUUGAGAUUUCUAAAGAUUAAAUUUACAUUUAUAAAGUAUAUCGC
This is a non-coding RNA of Bactrocera oleae (olive fruit fly), 1464 nucleotides long. The record is from RefSeq and is a predicted model, not a curated record. NCBI's taxonomy places the organism in Eukaryota, Metazoa, Arthropoda, Insecta, Diptera, Tephritidae.